Molecule: long non-coding RNA, 2092 nt
Organism: Pseudoliparis swirei
Lineage: Eukaryota; Metazoa; Chordata; Actinopteri; Perciformes; Liparidae
Exons: 3
Source: RefSeq, a predicted model, not a curated record
ACGUCCUAUGUAUUGUUGGGUACCCUAGAACUCGCAGGAAUACAGGACUGGUACCUCUGUAGUAUCCUUAAGAGAGGCAGCGGCCCCCGAGGGCCACCAGUAUGUACGAUUCCCGUCAACAUACUGUAGCCUUGUGUCCGGGUUGAGCUGGCGGGACUCGGGUGGAGUUGGCCGAACUUCACGUUGAUCCACAUCUCCGGUGGAUGACGAAUCUCAAAAAACGUGCAAGGGUUCUUAUUUUCUCCUCCUCCCCCUUUAAGGUGGUGGAGGAGUCUGAGUCGCUUGCUCCUUGACCCCGAGCCAAUGAGCGGUUCAAUUGUGUUGAUAUUAGAAUAGAAUAAAAUAGAAUAUAGAAUAGGUAGGUAGGUAUUCCUAUAUUAGUCCCACUGUGGGGAAAUUUCAAAAUCCCAAAAGUUUAGAAUGAAUUAUUUUGAAUGUGUUGCAUCUUCAAAUUCACUCUGAUUCUUCUUUCAGUUUUGUAAAUCACGCUUUGGUGGGAUAAAGUCGGCCUCACUAAAGCCACAUUUAGUGGCUAGGAGGACCCCCAGCCCUUCUCCUCCUCCUCCUUUCAUAUCCUCUGUGAGGACACCCAGCAGCCCAGAAGAUGAUGGUGAGCCUGGAGGAGUUCAGCUAGCCGCUGCUGGGGCUGCAGCUUCAUUCUGGUUGCCGUCGGAGAUGAGAAAGACCCUCCCUGCAGGAGGGGCCGGGACUGGACGUGAUGGUCUCCGGAGUGUCUGUGUUGGAUGGGUACCCUAGAACUCGCAGGAAUACAGGACUGGUACCUCUGUAGUAUCCUUAAGAGAGGCAGCGGCCCCCGAGGGCCACCAGUAUGUACGAUUCCCGUCAACAUACUGUAGCCUUGUGUCCGGGUUGAGCUGGCGGGACUCGGGUGGAGUUGGCCGAACUUCACGUUGAUCCACAUCUCCGGUGGAUGACGAAUCUCAAAAAACGUGCACGGGUUCUUAUUUUCUCCUCCUCCCCCUUUAAGGUGGUGGAGGAGUCUGAGUCGCUUGCUCCUUGACCCCGAGCCAAUGAGCGGUUCAAUUGUGUUGAUAUUAGAAUAGAAUAAAAUAGAAUAUAGAAUAGGUAGGUAGGUAUUCCUAUAUUAGUCCCACUGUGGGGAAAUUUCAAAAUCCCAAAAGUUUAGAAUGAAUUAUUUUGAAUGUGUUGCAUCUUCAAAUUCACUCUGAUUCUUCUUUCAGUUUUGUAAAUCACGCUUUGGUGGGACAAAGUCGGCCUCACUAAAGCCACAUUUAGUGGCUAGGAGGACCCCCAGCCCUUCUCCUCCUCCUCCUUUCAUAUCCUCUGUGAGGACACCCAGCAGCCCAGAAGAUGAUGGUGAGCCUGGAGGAGUUCAGCUAGCCGCUGCUGGGGCUGCAGCUUCAUUCUGGUUGCCGUCGGAGAUGAGAAAGACCCUCCCUGUGCAGGACCAGAGGUGGAUUGCCAACACCCUCUUAACGAUCUACAUUUGUGUCAGACAGGAAUUUUUAUGUACAGAUUUAUGAACAAUAAUCUGCCCCACAAUCUGUUACGUAUGUUCACAAGGAACACACAUGUCUACAACCACAACACGCGCCUGCGUGGUGGCAUACAUAUUAAUAAACAUACAGUCGACAUUGUAUUUAAAAGCUUCAUCCGUAGAGGUCCAAAGCUCUGGAGCCAAAUUCCGGACGAGGUCAAAUCAGCAUCCACCACCAAGGCAUUUGGUUCCCGCCUUAAACGCCAUCUCACUUCACUUUAAAAGUUAUUAUUAUUGAUAUACAGCCUGGCGGCACAGUACAAUAGAGGAAAGAUAUUUAAAUUUAAUUGUAUAUACAUACCUUGAUGUUCUUGAUAUUAUUAUUUUUUCUAAGUUAUCAGUAGUUCACAUUUGCCUUUAUUAUUAUUUUUACUAUGUUUCUUUCUUUUUUGUUUUCUUUUUCCUGUUCUGGGUUAAAGGGUUCUGGGCGGGGCCGUCCAACUCCUCAUCUCAGAGGAGCCUACAGACCUCGGUCUUUGGACGGUCCUCCAUUCGUACAUUUUUGUUGUUAAUGUCUGUCAGUAUGUACACGUUAUGUAGGUACCUACGGAAAAUAAAUUACUGACUUACUUA